CCACCUUUGACAUGGCAGGAAGGUCUCAGAGAUGGGAUUGUGCCCGAAAGGGAACCUGCACACAGGUGCUGCAUGGCUGUCGUCAGCUCGUGUCGUGAGAUGUUGGGUUAAGUCCCGCAACGAGCGCAACCCUUGCCAUUAGUUGCUACGAAAGGGCACUCUAAUGGGACUGCCGGUGACAAACCGGAGGAAGGUGGGGAUGACGUCAAGUCCUCAUGGCCCUUAUAGGUGGGGCUACACACGUCAUACAAUGGCUGGUACAGAGGGUUGCCAACCCGCGAGGGGGAGCCAAUCCCACAAAGCCAGUCGUAGUCCGGAUCGCAGUCUGCAACUCGACUGCGUGAAGUCGGAAUCGCUAGUAAUCGUGGAUCAGCAUGUCACGGUGAAUACGUUCCCGGGUCUUGUACACACCG
This 413-nucleotide ribosomal RNA is filed under the name bacterium enrichment culture. RNAcentral's name for it is "bacterial SSU rRNA". It matches the Rfam family "Bacterial small subunit ribosomal RNA", at positions 975 to 1392 of the family's 1533-position model. The record is from RNAcentral.